This is a microRNA precursor of Pteropus vampyrus (large flying fox), 75 nucleotides long. Lineage: Eukaryota; Metazoa; Chordata; Mammalia; Chiroptera; Pteropodidae. The record is from Ensembl.
CCGUUUUCAGGUCCCUGUUCGGGCGCCACUUUGUCGGAAGCCAGCUGACCAAGUCAAACCGGAUACCUGAAAUGG